AUCCCAUAUUAUUAAAUUCAGAUUUGAUUAUUAUAAAUCUAUUUGUCUAGAUAUUAUUGUUGUCUCUAGUUGAAUAUUGAUGUGAUUAUGUGAAUAGUAUGUAUGUGAUCCUACGUGUUUUGUGGAUUAAUAUGGAUUUUACAGAUUUUUCGUCCUCCUUCUUUCUUUGAUUCCGAGGACGGAAUCCCUAUAAGGAGGGUAGAUUGUAAUGACCCGGAUUUUUAAAAAUAUUUUUAUUAGUAUUAAAAGUGAUUUUCUUCAAAGAAAGGAAUAAGAUUUAAUAUUUUAUUCCAGUUUAAUGAGUUUCCAAAGUUUUAUAUUUAAACCCCGGGUUAUUGUGUUAUUGAUAAAUAAUUGUAUUUUCAAAACUGAUUUUCAUAUAUUGUUUUGAAAAUUCUGUAUGAAUAUUAUGUGAAUAUAUGUGUGUUAUGUGAUUAAGUGGUAUUGGUGAAUUUGGUUGUUAAUUAAUUAUGAUUAAUUAUUAAUAUUAUAUGAUUAAUAUAUGAAUUUUUGUGAAUUUUGUGUUAUCUAGUUUAUUGAGCUGAAUGCUCGUAUGUGUUCGUAUUCGCGAGAUUUCAAUUUCUAUAUGCUCAGGAGAAAAUAUAGUUUAUUUGGAUAUUUUCAUAUCGAUUUAUGGAAUGUUAGAUGAUUUUAUAAUCAAUUUACGGAUUUAAUUGCGUAUAUUUAUAUGUAAUUAUUGAUUAUUUGAUUAUUCGUAAACCGUUCACUCGUAACGGUGUAGCAAAUUUUCUUCCCGGAAAUUUCGAGAAAACUCACCUUUAGCCUAAUUUGAAUAUUCUGGACAUUUUUCGUGUUUUGACUUUUUCGAUCCGGAGUACGGUUUUCCCCGGAGUCGGUCCGGCGGAGUUUUUCGGGUAUUUUAAUUGUUGAUAAUUAUCUGGUUGUCUCGAUAAACGUGAAACUAGAUAUUUUGAUUCAUCUUUAUCUUGUAAUAAUUGCAGUGGGACCCGCAUACUAAUGACUGAUUAAAAAGCCCCGUUUUGAUGAUUAUCUUGAAAACCAGUACCGAUUGGACCCCGCUUUAUUAAUAUAAAGCUAUUAAAUACGUAUUUUCAUGUCAUAUACGAUCCAAAGGGGUACCAAUUAUUUGUAAAUAUAAAUAGACCUUUCUAGAGCUUUAUUUCACCCGUAAAAUCAUUUCACCAGUUUCUCUGCACGAAUACCGAGAGAAACCGAGCUGUGUUCUUCGUGUUCUUCAUAAUCAAACGAAGAUUUGAAGGCGUUAUUGGAAUCCGAUGGAGGUGUAUGAAUUAGUCAAAACGAAGCUAUCGACGUGUAGAUUAUAGUUUAAUCAUUCGUUUGUGUGCAGAUUCAACAGGAUUUGGAGGAGACGUGUACGCUCGAAGACGUCAGAAAGUCGGAAUGGUAUUGCAAAGCGAAUAAGGGAUGUAUCGAGUAAGCGAAGCGAUGUGGCGAAUAGAGUAUAGCUAGAGAUGGUCUAGAGAUUACGAGAUGCGUAGAUUGUGAAAGUUGAAAGAUGAGAAUGAGCUGUGAAACUGGAGUCAGAUUUAAGAAAGGAUUAAAGAUGAAUGGCUAGUCUAUGAUUGCGAGUAAAGCUAAGGCUAGGCGAGGAGUCAGAGGUGUUAAGGAUCCAGUGAUCAAGAAGUGUGCAGGAAGAUUGAUAAGGUUGGUGCUAGCUAGAGUUGAGCUAUUGAGAUUCAGAUGUAAGUCAUAGCUGGAAUAGUUGACAGUGAUUCUUCUUAUCGAAGAUGAUAUGAUUUGGUAAGAGAUGUGGUGUAAUAAUAGUGGUUGAUUCUAAUUUCAAUACUGUAACCUGGAAGCGAUCCUGUUGUUUUAGGGGGUUCAAAUGUUCUCUUUCAAAUCUUUUAUUAUGGCUUUCAAGUUUGAAUUUCAAGUUUUUAAAUCCUUUGACUUUUAUUAUCAUUUCAAAAAAAAAAAAAAAAAAAUAAUUCAAGGGUGUUUUUAAAAGGUUUUGUGUGGUGACGUCAGAAUCCAGGCCCCCGGAUUCUCGGGCUGUCACAGUUGGUAUCAGAGCAACAGGUUACAAGUUAUUGAAAUUUGAAUAUAGAUUAUAGUCUUAAGUUUUCUAGAGAAGAAAGUUGUGUAACCUCACAUAGAGGUAUGGUUAGACUAUUUGGGAAUAGUCUAGUGAUGUGAGUGAAGCAUAGAGUCUAGUUAGACGACUAAGUUGAGUGUAUAAGUUUAGAGAGAUUUUGAUCCCUAAGUUAGACAUAUGAUUUUUUAAGAUGACUCAUUGAGAUGAUGGAUUGUGAGAAAGGUCAAGAUUAGACCUAGGUAGAAUAGUUUGAUAAUGAAUGAUUGAGUUGGGAUUGGUAAAGAUGCAGAGUUCAGAGUAUUCUGACUAUACUGCAUAAUUGAAAAUGGUCUAUUGUAUUGACUUGAGAAUGAUAGAGAUGCAUGGUUCAUAGUAUGUUGACCAUGUCAGAUAUUUGGAAGAGGUAUAUUGUUUUAGUGAGAUAUGAAGAGUUAGUGUAGAAUAUGAGUUGUGUUGGAUUAGAAGAAGAGAUUUGUAGAUAGAGGUUGAUAGCUGAGAAGUGCAUGAUAGAGAGUAUGUGGAGUUGAGUCCAGUUAUUAGAGGUGAUGUGUGCGAGUAAGUUAGAACGUUAGUCCUCGGCGAUGACGCUUUAAGUUAAUCGGGACUUUAAACGACAUCAAGGUGGGCCCAUAACCCACAGGUUGGCGAUCCAUACAAUCGAUGAUAUGCUACGUGUUUUGCUAGUGACUUCACAGAUAAUGGGGAUGAAGUGGAGGCCAAGACUUAUUACGAACUAUAACGUCUACGAUGACAUCUUACGAGGCUAUUACGAAUCAACAUCGAUCGAUUAUUGAGAACGUUGAAAAGAAGACAUAUAUCGAACAAUGAUUUAUUGAAGCAGAGCGAAAAUCUGAGAAGACCUUGGUAAUACCUCUCUUCAACUAAGAUUCUUUUGGAUUGUUUUUCUCAUCAGUGAGAUAUUAUAAUGAUAUCCUUUCGACCAAAGUUUCGAUAAAUGAGAUUUUCAAUUUCUCAAAUUCUAAGAUGAUAAUGAUAUUGAUUAUUGGUGUGAGUUAGUAUUGAAUCGGUGUAUGAUAAAGGCGUGUUAUGAAGAGACAGUGGAAUUCCUUGAUAUUAUUGAUAUUCUGUGAUAUCCCUUGAUAUUCUUCCAUAUUCUUUGAUAUCCCUUAAUAUUCGUUGAUAUUCGUUGACAUUCUUUGACACUCUUUGAUAUUCCUUGAUAUCUUUUCGAUAUUCCUUAAUAUAUUCCUCGAUAAUCCUUAACAUUCCUUGAUGCUCCUUGAGAUUUCUUGGAUUCUUUCCAUCUGAUUGGGAGGAACAACCCUAUGUAUAGGGGACACAAGGUAUACCUGUCUGUGUGAUAGGAGUUGGAUGGGACGCCAUCACUUGUGUGUGUUGUGAUUACAAGAAGGUUAACAACCUUUAGUAGUGUCUAAUAUGGACACGCAACAUUAAGUUCAUUUGAUCGUAUUGAUCUCCCAGUCACCCUUGUAUUCCAAUGUGACCUAUUUUGAAAACACCUAGUUCUAUUCGAAAAUUCCCAAAGAUCGAUUCUUGGGAAAUGAAUUUUGCAAUUGUGAAAGUUGAUUCUCCUAUUUCUUUAAAGCUAAAGGUAUGCCAAGGUUGAUCAAAAGGUGGAUGACGAUAUGAUAUUACGAAGUGUGUACGUUUUAGUUUCUUCGGAGGAUUCCGAGGACGGAAUCCUUAUAAGGGGGGUAGAAUGUAAUAUCCCAUAUUAUUAAAUUCAGAUUUGAUUAUUAUAAAUCUAUUUGUCUAGAUAUUAUUGUUGUCUCUAGUUGAAUAUUGAUGUGAUUAUGUGAAUAGUAUGUAUGUGAUCCUACGUGUUUUGUGGAUUAAUAUGGAUUUUACAGAUUUUUCGUCCUCCUUCUUUCUUUGAUUCCGAGGACGGAAUCCCUAUAAGGAGGGUAGAUUGUAAUGACCCGGAUUUUUAAAAAUAUUUUUAUUAGUAUUAAAAGUGAUUUUCUUCAAAGAAAGGAAUAAGAUUUAAUAUUUUAUUCCAGUUUAAUGAGUUUCCAAAGUUUUAUAUUUAAACCCCGGGUUAUUGUGUUAUUGAUAAAUAAUUGUAUUUUCAAAACUGAUUUUCAUAUAUUGUUUUGAAAAUUCUGUAUGAAUAUUAUGUGAAUAUAUGUGUGUUAUGUGAUUAAGUGGUAUUGGUGAAUUUGGUUGUUAAUUAAUUAUGAUUAAUUAUUAAUAUUAUAUGAUUAAUAUAUGAAUUUUUGUGAAUUUUGUGUUAUCUAGUUUAUUGAGCUGAAUGCUCGUAUGUGUUCGUAUUCGCGAGAUUUCAAUUUCUAUAUGCUCAGGAGAAAAUAUAGUUUAUUUGGAUAUUUUCAUAUCGAUUUAUGGAAUGUUAGAUGAUUUUAUAAUCAAUUUACGGAUUUAAUUGCGUAUAUUUAUAUGUAAUUAUUGAUUAUUUGAUUAUUCGUAAACCGUUCACUCGUAACGGUGUAGCAAAUUUUCUUCCCGGAAAUUUCGAGAAAACUCACCUUUAGCCUAAUUUGAAUAUUCUGGACAUUUUUCGUGUUUUGACUUUUUCGAUCCGGAGUACGGUUUUCCCCGGAGUCGGUCCGGCGGAGUUUUUCGGGUAUUUUAAUUGUUGAUAAUUAUCUGGUUGUCUCGAUAAACGUGAAACUAGAUAUUUUGAUUCAUCUUUAUCUUGUAAUAAUUGCAGUGGGACCCGCAUACUAAUGACUGAUUAAAAAGCCCCGUUUUGAUGAUUAUCUUGAAAACCAGUACCGAUUGGACCCCGCUUUAUUAAUAUAAAGCUAUUAAAUACGUAUUUUCAUGUCAUAUACGAUCCAAAGGGGUACCAAUUAUUUGUAAAUAUAAAUAGACCUUUCUAGAGCUUUAUUUCACCCGUAAAAUCAUUUCACCAGUUUCUCUGCACGAAUACCGAGAGAAACCGAGCUGUGUUCUUCGUGUUCUUCAUAAUCAAACGAAGAUUUGAAGGCGUUAUUGGAAUCCGAUGGAGGUGUAUGAAUUAGUCAAAACGAAGCUAUCGACGUGUAGAUUAUAGUUUAAUCAUUCGUUUGUGUGCAGAUUCAACAGGAUUUGGAGGAGACGUGUACGCUCGAAGACGUCAGAAAGUCGGAAUGGUAUUGCAAAGCGAAUAAGGGAUGUAUCGAGUAAGCGAAGCGAUGUGGCGAAUAGAGUAUAGCUAGAGAUGGUCUAGAGAUUACGAGAUGCGUAGAUUGUGAAAGUUGAAAGAUGAGAAUGAGCUGUGAAACUGGAGUCAGAUUUAAGAAAGGAUUAAAGAUGAAUGGCUAGUCUAUGAUUGCGAGUAAAGCUAAGGCUAGGCGAGGAGUCAGAGGUGUUAAGGAUCCAGUGAUCAAGAAGUGUGCAGGAAGAUUGAUAAGGUUGGUGCUAGCUAGAGUUGAGCUAUUGAGAUUCAGAUGUAAGUCAUAGCUGGAAUAGUUGACAGUGAUUCUUCUUAUCGAAGAUGAUAUGAUUUGGUAAGAGAUGUGGUGUAAUAAUAGUGGUUGAUUCUAAUUUCAAUACUGUAACCUGGAAGCGAUCCUGUUGUUUUAGGGGGUUCAAAUGUUCUCUUUCAAAUCUUUUA
Molecule: long non-coding RNA, 5576 nt
Organism: Daucus carota subsp. sativus
Lineage: Eukaryota; Viridiplantae; Streptophyta; Magnoliopsida; Apiales; Apiaceae
Exons: 5
Source: RefSeq, a predicted model, not a curated record